GUUUUUCCCUCUUCACCUGCUCUCCACCUCAACUCCACAAGAAGCAUUAUAUGCAAAAUUUUCUUAUGUAACUAAUCAAAAGGGAAAGCAGAAACUUUCUUGACAUGCAGAGUAACAUGAUAGAUUUUUCUUAUUUUUGGUUUGUGUGUGAAAUAUCAAAUGAAUGUUGUAAUGAUUAGGAAGCUGAUUGGAGCGAGGUACUUCAACAAAGGGGUUGAAGCAGAGUUGGGGAGUCCGCUCAAUUCUUCCUACCAAACUGUACGAGAUACAAGUGGGCAUGGCACGCAUACACUGUCCACAGCUGGUGGUAGAUUUGUUGGUGGAGCAAACCUCUUGGGUUCAGGCUACGGAACUGCAAAGGGCGGCUCUCCUAGUGCUCGAGUUGCUUCAUACAAGUCUUGCUGGCCAGAUUGCAAUGAUGUUGAUGUAUUGGCUGCCAUUGAUGCUGCCAUACAUGAUGGCGUUGACAUCCUCUCCCUUUCAAUUGCAUUCGUAUCUCGCGAUUAUUUCUUAGACAGCAUCGCAAUUGGAUCUCUUCAUGCUGUCCAGAAUGGAAUUGUUGUUGUCUGUGCUGGCGGGAAUGAAGGACCCACGCCUGGAAGUGUUAAAAACAUGGCACCAUGGAUUAUAACUGUUGCUGCUAGUACAAUUGAUAGGGAUUUUCCCUCUAAUGUCACGCUGGGUAAUAACCAGCAAUUCAAGGUGAGUCCUUUAAUUCUACCAAUUUAAGAAAACACAUUUCUUUUAGUUUUCAUGGUCUGUAUAUCCACAUUUAUAUUCUUCUUGAUUCAGCUUUUGUGAUUUGUUUUUAAUCAGGGCCGGAGCUUCUACACCAAUACUUUACCAGCCGAGAAGUUUUAUCCCCUGGUGUAUUCUGUAGAUGCUAGAGCUGCUAAUGCUUCUGCAAGUGAUGCGUAAGUAAACUGAUACUCCAUCCAAUUCCAUGUCGAGUUUGUUAAUUGGCAUCCCAACUCUAUAGGCAUGACUGGUAACAUUUGCUUUCUCUGGAUGUUGUAGACAAGUUUGCUCUGUUGGAUCCCUGGACCCAAAGAAGGUGAAAGGGAAGAUUGUAUACUGUCUGGUUGGAGUCAAUGAAAAUGUUGAAAAGAGCUGGGUGGUUGCUCAGGCAGGUGGCAUCGGGAUGAUUCUUUCCGACCGUCUGUCCACCGAUACAUCGUUUNNNNNNNNNNNNNNNNNNNNNNNNNNNNNNNNNNNNNNNNNNNNNNNNNNNNNNNNNNNNNNNNNNNNNNNNNNNNNNNNNNNNNNNNNNNNNNNNNNNNCCAUGUAAAAUCCAUUUUCUUAGAUGAUCAUNUUAGUAUUAAGGAAAGUUUUUUUUUUUUUUUUUCAUGUUUCCACUUUCAGGUACCCUGUUGCUUACAUCAGUGGUGCAACUGAAGUGGGUACAGUAGCAGCACCCAUCAUUCCUUCUUUUUCGUCUCAGGGCCCUAAUCCAAUCACUCCAGAAAUCCUCAAGGUGGGUUACGUAUUAUAGUCCCAAAUAAAUUAAGUAGUAGUUCAGAGGAGCUUCAGUUUAGUUUCCUUUUUAUUCCACCCCUGCAUUGGAAGGCUAAACCCCUGCUAGUAUCAAGGGUUAGUGUUUGACAUGAAACCCAAUUUUCUAGCAGCGAUCAUACCACAAAAUCUGAGGCAAGGAGUGUCAGUUGCUAAAACAAUUUCCUUAAUUUUCUUUAACAUUCAUGUAAGAUCCAACAAUAUUGAUUUUAAUCUACAGCCUGACCUCACUGCACCCGGAGUGCAAAUUGUAGCGGCUUACUCACAAGCAACGGGGCCUACAGAUCUUCAAUCAGAUGAUCGUCGUGUUCCCUUUAGCAUCAUAUCUGGUACUUCAAUGUCUUGCCCUCAUGUUGCUGGAACAAUAGGCCUUCUCAAGAAGAUUCACCCUGAUUGGAGUCCAUCAGCCUUAAGAUCUGCAAUCAUGACCACCGGUCAGUACCAUAUAUUAAAUUUUCAUCGGACAUAUAUUGUAUAGUUAUGCUGUUUUGAGAAUAUUAUUAAGAUGAACAACUGAUGCUUAACGUUGACCACAAUAUGGAUCCCAGCGAGAACUAGAACUAACGUGAGACAACCUUUGGUGAAUGAGACACUUGGAGAGGCAAACCCCUUCAGCUAUGGUGCAGGGCAUCUCUGGCCUAGCCGUGCAAUGGACCCAGGUUUGGUCUAUGACUUAACCACCACUGACUACUUGAACUUUCUGUGCUCUAUUGGCUACAAUGCAACCCAACUUUCAACAUUUGUGGACAAGGGAUAUGAAUGCCCAUCAAAGCCCAUGAGCCUUUUGAAUUUAAACUACCCCUCAAUUACCGUCCCCAGUCUCUCAGGCAAGGUAACAGUGACUCGGACCCUGAAGAAUGUUGGAACCCCAGCUACAUACACAGUUCGAACUGAGGUGCCUAGUGGAAUAUCGGUGAAGGUGGAGCCCAAUACGCUUAAAUUUGAAAAGAUUAAUGAAGAGAAAACAUUCAAGGUGAUAUUGGAAGCAAAGAGAGAUGGUAAGGGAGGUGAGUAUGUUUUUGGAAGGCUCAUAUGGUCAGAUGGAGAACACUACGUCAGAAGCCCUAUAGUGGUCAAUGCAACCACUCUUUAGAUAUAACCAUGAUUUUUAUUAUUAUUAUUAUUUUUGUAAUGUCAAGCUAAUUACCUAAAAUAAAUCUAUAUUUACCAUGUGGACUCACCAUUAAUAAAAAAGAGACCUUGAACUUCAUUUUGAUCUAAUAUCAUCCAUUUAAAUAUUACGAGGUUCUAAACUUCCAUCCAUAGUAGAAUUGUAAUAUAGAUGAGGCCUAAAUUCUAUAUAUUAAAAAGGUUGAAGCAAAUUUUAAGUCUUGAUAUAUGAACUACAUGAAGGGUGAUGAUUAGGUAGUCUAUGAAUUAAUCUUAAAUUCAAAUUUUAUUAUUAAUUUUUUAUUAAAUAAUUAAUGAAAGUACAUUAAUUUAACGUAUAUGUAAUUAAUAUCAAUCUCACACGGUGAUAGGAAAUAUAAUAUGGAAAAACUAUCUACCACCACGAGAUGGUGUCUCAAUUGCAAGUAAUUUAUUAAACAUGAGAAGAUGGUACAUAGAUUUAUCUUAUCAGGGAUAUCUACUCUUAUAAGAAAAUGUUUUUUAGUGGAUUGCUCAAAAGUUUUUAUCAAAAUUGAAACGUUUCAAGUCCAAAGCUUUUUGAUAUUUGAAUAGUAACUUAAAAAUGAAAAUAGAAAUUUUGAGAGAUGGAGGUUCAAACUUUGGAUGAUAUAACUAUUGUUCUCUUAAUGUCUUUAUUUUCCCAUAUAAUAAGACUUUUUAUAUUUGAAAAACUCCAAGCCUUUAAAAUUACAUAUCUAGUAACAAUAAUCAUCAAUAAGCUAGCACAUAAGGGGAAUGGAUAGGUGCUCAGGCCAAGCUAUGCAACAACCCAAGACUCCAGAACUACGAGUGUAGUAUCAAUGCAUUGAACAUGAGCCUCUAUUGCUACAAUCCAUGAAACAAUGUCCUCAAUGGAAGCAACAAUCCUUUGCAACAAGUGCUUCAGGCAACCAAAGAUGAGGAGCAUAUAGUUACACCCGCUAGAGUUCCCUGCACCUCGAAUAGCAACCCGAUGACAUAGAGAAGGUCCUUGAACAUCAUUGCCUACUCCGCAGCUCGAAUCUCCCACUCCUAAUCAUCCUUAAUUUUUGAAAACCUUGAUCAAUUUUUAAUUUGUAUUACCUAGAAGUUUAAAAAGGAUAUAAUCAUCAAGCUAAAUACAUCUUUACCUUUACAACAAAUUAAUGAAAGUGAAUUUAACAAUGUGGAGUAAUCAAGAAUGGGCAAUAUCAUUUAAUAGUUGAAAUUCAAAUUUUGUAAUUCAUAAAAAUUGACGGAUCAAAGACUAGACCCAUGCGAGACAUUGACAUAACAACUAGUGGGGCUAAUAAAAUUUUUGGAAGAACUCAUUGGCUCGAUUCAAUUUAUUAAUAUUCCGUUUUUCUAUCAAUAUUUAAGCUAGAUGGAAACUAGAUUGUUUUGAACUUUCAAUAAUUGAUGACUUUGGAGGUGUAUACAGUGAACUUGUCUAUUUAAAAGGGAGUGUAGACAAAAAUGUCUACCUCAUAAACCAUGAGUUUUUGACUAGUAAGAGCAUUCAUUCAAUAUUCCAACAUGGUGGCUAGUCAGAUAUAUGUGAUUGAUUGAAACAAUUUGGAGAAAUUUUUUGGGUUAAAGGAAAGCUUAAAAAAUCUAGGGUUAUUUGAUUAAAAGGGUUUUUGAAAACCCAAUUUUUUAAAUUUAACCUCUAUCCAUUUUUUGGUCAUAUUUGGACAAAAAUGUUUUCAUUAUUUUCUUAUAAAAAUAACAAUCUCUUUUAAAACCUAUAUGUAAAUAUUUGAAAUGGUAAAAGACAUUUAUGUCAAAGGUGAAUUACUUUUCAAGAAAAAAAAUACGAGAAUGGUUAGAUUCAUAAUAUGAGGAUUAUUUCACUGUUUUUAACCAAAUAUUUCAAAAAUGUAUAAUUUGAUAUAUCGUUUUCUUUCUUGUAAUGAUCUUUGAUUUUCCAUGAAUUGACAUUAUAAGAGUCUUCUGGCCCCAUUGUCAUCCCAGAAGUUAUUUCAAUUCCCACUUGUUUUGAAUAUUCCUGUUUUCUAGAUUUUCUUAGUCUUCCAUGCUUUAUAAAUCAACUCUAGGCAAAAUUUUCCUCUUCUAUGACCAAAUUUUCCUCUACUAUUGCCUUUUAUUUCAUCUUCAAUCAUGUGCACCUGCACAUGGUAAAGCCAUAUUGAUAGCAUAAAUUGGAGCCGGUUUUUCUAGCUAUCAGUUCUAGAACAGUAGAAAAAUGUAUGAACUGAAAUCUGACUUAUUUAUAUCAGUAAUGACAUUUUUUUUAAGGUGGAUGGAGUGAAGAAAAUGAUGAACAUACCUCCCCAAGAAUGCUUGUCAACUACAUAUAUGAAUGUAAUACCUUUUCCUUACUAGCUUAAUCAUCCAUUCUCUUUGAUUUCACAACUCUCAAUUUUAAGUCAAGCAUACUGGUGAAGGUCUGUGUCAAAAAUCCCCCUUGUCAUUGAUUACACUGCAGAUAGGGAUAUGAAUAUAAAUAUAUUUACUUGAUCAAUGAAGAUUAAUUAAGACUUUCAUAUUUUCCAGCAGAGUUAGGCUAAGCUUAGAAGAAAACAAAGGGUACUUGGUUCAGUAGCGGAAGCUUCCUAUUGACAAUCAUCACCUAUCAAUUAUAUAUUUGAUGAAAAUAUAUAAAUAUAUUAAAUAAAUUAUCCAUGCAAUUUGAGGUAGGAAAUCCUUUAAAAGGGAUAGUAGAGACCCUCUUACUUGAAGAACAUAAAGCAGAGGUUCUAACCACAGAGAUCUAGGGGAAUCAAAUGGGGAUUAUGAGUCCUCCUCUUUUCCUUCUCUCUUUCAUUCUCUUCACUGUGAUGAAGUGUCCAACACUGGCUCUCAAACGGGCAAGCAUUAUUCUCUAUCUCUCUCAAUUCUCUAAGUGGCUAACUACCCAUGUUAACCUGUUUUAUAGAACCUCAUGUCAUGUGGUGUAAUAUGAUUUUGUUGUACCCUUUUUCUACAGUCAUAUGUGGUGUACCUAGGUAGUCAUUCACAUGGAGCUGAACCUACUUCUGUAUUGGGGAAGAUAUAAUUAUUGGAAACCUAGACACUGGUAAUCUUGAUUGCUAACCAGCUUUGAGAUUUGGUGAAGUUUAAAAUGCUAAUACUCUUUCAAUGAGUUAUCUAUAUUCGGUAGCAUUAAUCUUUUGAAAUAAUAUCUUGGCUUGCCUAUCAGAAAAAGCUUGAGGAAUCAACAAGCAAGCUAGUGUUACUGCAUUCGUACAAUGCAUAGAUAAGACACUCCUCAACUACACUAGCACCAAAUCAUAUUAGCUGCAAUCCUAGUUUUUAUGAUUUUUGACUUAGUAAACUAGAUUUUUAAUGAUUUCUUGGACUUUACAUAGGUGCCGGAUUAAUUGGGUGCUAAUUGACUUGAAUAAUCAAAGUAGACCAAAUGAAUAAUUAGUUUGCAUCUACGAAGUCAAGGAGGAGUGUUGAAUUUUGACUUAGUAUUUGCUGGAAUUUGAAUUUUGAAUAUUGCAGCUGGAGUCUUGCGCAAAAUCUGCAACAUCUAGAUAUUUUCUUAUUUUUAUUUGGUCAAGAUUUGGUUUCUAUUUUAUAGGAAGUAGUUGUUCAUCAUCUAGUAGCUUGAUUUUCUGCUAUUCUAAUGUCAUUUAAGUUACAAGCUCAUGUAUAAAUUCAGCACUCUUCAUCAAUAAUCAUAGUUCCGGCAGCCCAAAAAUAUAUAUUCUGUAUAAGUAUUUAAUCUUAUACCAACAAAGUGGUAUCAGAGCCAUAGUUAUCUUGAGGGGCCAGUGAGGUGAGUGAACCCAAACACCUUCUAAAAUCAUUUAGCAAUGGAAGAGUCAAGUCUCACAGUUGCACCAUCAAUUCUUGAUGGAGACAAUUAUGAAACUUGGGCUGUUAGAAUGACAGUUCAUCUACAAGCACUUGAUGUUUGGGAAGCAGUGGACACUNNNNNNNNNNNNNNNNNNNNNNNNNNNNNNNNNNNNNNNNNNNNNNNNNNNNNNNNNNNNNNNNNNNNNNNNNNNNNNNNNNNNNNNNNNNNNNNNNNNNAGAGUUAAGGAUCCUUCCCCAAUGACUGGGGUUGUGUUACCAUUGGCUGUGGAAACAAUUUUUUGUGAGGAAGGUCUAAGGGGUGAAACCUGUCUAGAAUCAAAAGUCAUAUGAUCUGUAGUACCAGAAUCAAUUAUCCAUGCACUAUUAAUAACAGGUGUAAAAGUAUUUAAAAACUUACCACCAUGAUCUGUAGCAGCUACCAAUGCAGAGGCUUUCUCAGCAACAUUAGCCUCUAUUUUAUUUCGGCAACAGUUGCAAUCGAGCUUUUCUUGGAAUCCUUCUUCCGUUGAUCACGAUUAUUAUCAUUAAUAACAAAGUGUUGAUAGCCUAAACAUGAUCUAAAGGUCCAUGGUUCAAACCCUCGGUUCCUCAUUGUUUUCCUGGUCAUACCAAGAGUCGUUGCUUUGAAAUUGUGGGAUAUCCAGAUUGGUGGGAUCAAUCUUAUUGCAGUGAGUGCAUUUGAAGGUUGACUUAUCAAUAUUAGGGCUUGUCUUAGGAUGGAUGAUCGCUGUCGGACUACCAUAGCGACAAAAUAUCCAGGAUUUCAGUUCCAUGGCUCUGAUACCAUCUUCAAAUUGAUAAAUGGUAGUUUUUUCCAUUCAUUACUUUCAUUCGUUCAUGUACAGAUAAUAUAUAGAGGGUAAUUACCAUUCUAAGAAUAAGAAGGAAUGAUACAAGGAAAGAAUGAUAUAAGGAAAUAACAACUAAUAUCCUAAUAUCUUAACUUUCCUAAUAUCUCAAUAUUCCUAAUAUCUCAAUAUUCUUAAUAUCUUAACUUUCCUAAUAUUUAAACAUUCCUAAUAUUUCAACACUAAAUAAUAUAAGGAAAGAAUGAUAUACGGAAAGCAUUCCUAAUAUCUCAACAUAUUUUGUAGAUGCUAGAGCUGCUAAUGCUUCUGAAAACGAUGAUUAAGUAAACUGAUACUCCAUCCAAAUUCCAUCUCCAGUUUGUUAAUUGGCAUCACCAACUGUAUAGCCAUGACUGGUAACAUGUGCUUUCUCUGGAUGUUGUAGAGACAACUUUGUUCUGUUGGAUCGCUGGACCCAAAGAAGGUGAAAGGGAAUAUUGUAUACUGUCUGGUUGCAGUAUACAAUAUUUUUCCUGUAAUCAUCCUUGUCGCUAGUAGAUAUUUUUCCAAUGCGUGUGCUUUGACCCGGAGGUCCCAUCAAUAAUGGGAAAGCGCUCAACAUGUGGAGAACCGUGCUCCAAGUCAAAGCCAACCCGUAAUAGAAUAAAUAAAGAAGUAAGGUAGAAGUAGUUGCCAGGUAUGGUUCGUCCUUUUAGGAUGAAGCCUACAGGGCUCACUGUAAAAAUUUUCAGGGUUUAUGUUACUAGGACAACUGCACAUUCAAGCCUGGCCCGCUGCUGAACCUAGUAACUCAUGGUACAAUGCUGGCAGCCUUUGGCUCAAGGCAGCAACACAGUUGGCUGGUUCUGAUGAUUCUUGGACCAACUACAAUGAACCUGCAGGAUGAAGAGACACUAGGGCCUCAUCAGCAAGCACAGGAACGUAUAACGAAAGCAACAGUGCUACGCCAUUGACAAUUCAAGUCUUCAUACGGCACCAGCUUUGCAUUACCUAGAGGCUUAAAAAUGAUAUCGCCAUCAAGUUAAACACUGCCUUAAACACAGCGAAUGAAUUAAAGCGAGUUUCACAAUGUGGAGAUAUCAAGAAUUGAUGAUAUCAUUUGAUAGUUGAGUCAAAUUUUUUAACAUGAUAAUUUUCUCUAGUAGGACCUUCCCUCCUAGGGACUUUCCGGUAACCUUCACUUGGAGAGCCUUCUGGCCCCAUUGUAAUCCCAGAAGCUAUUUCAGAGCACACCGGUUUUGAAUUAUCCUCUUUUCUACACUUUCUUAGUCUUCCAUGCUUUAUAAAUCAACGCCAGGCAACAUUAUCCUUUACCAUGACUAAGCAUGUAAAAGAUGGUCAAAUUGUUGGUAUGAAAAGACCAUGUUGAGUAUUUCCUUUCAUUUCAUUUUCGAUCAGAUGCACCUGCAACAAAGUGGUAAAGCCAUAUUGAUAAAUUUUUUUCAUGUAGUGGAGCCGGUUUUUCUAGGUAUCGGUUUUAGAACAGUAGAAACUUAUGAACUGUGAUCUCCAACUUAUUUAUAAAUAGGUGAUGACCAUGCUGCCUCAAGAAUGCAUAUCGAUUACAUAUAUCGAUAUUAUACCUUUUCAAUAUGAGCUUAAUCAUCCAUUUAAUUUCUCUCAUUUCACAAUUCUUAUCUGAUUUUAGUUUAAUUAUACAUGCUGGGGAGGGUCUAUGUCAAGACCCCCAUGUGAUAGGGUAAGGAUAUAAGAUUAUUUAAGAUUUUCUUAUUAUCUUGUGACUUAGGAUAAGCUUGAAAGAAAAGAAAAGGUACUUAGCAAAAGUUUCUAGAGGUGUACAAAAGCUUCCUAUUGACUAUUAUUACCUAUCCAUUAUACAUUUUGAUAAAAAUAGAUUAAUAUUGAAUUAUGCAUACAAUUUGAGGUAGCAAAUACUUUAAAAGGGAUAGCAGAGAUCCCCCCUUAAAUCUUAAUUGAAGAACAUAUAGCAGAGGUUCUAAACCCAGAGAUCUAGGGGAAUCAAAUGGGGAUUAUGAAUCUUCCUCUUUUCCUUCUCUCUUUCAUUCUCUUCUAUGUGAUGCAGUGUCCGACACUGGCUCUCAAACGGGUAAGCAUUAUUCUCUAUCUCCCUCAAUUCUCUAAGUGGCUAACUACCUGUCUUAAUCUGUUGUUACUUGAUUUUUUUGUACCCGUAUUCUUCAGUCUUACGUGGUGUACCUAGGUGGCCAUUCACAUGGAUCUCAACGUACUUCUGAAAUGGAUCUCAACAGAAUUACUGAUUCCCAUCAUGAUCUUUUGGGUUCUUGCCUGGGCAGGUGAUAAACAUUGAUAUUACUAAUCAAUCCCACACUACUGGCUACUAUAUUAUUUGCUUUAGAUCCAUUCUAUUUUUGUUGCUGCAGCAAGGAGAAAGCACAAGAAUCAAUUUUUUACUCCUACACACAUCACAUAAAUGGUUUUGCUGCUAACCUGGAAGACGAAGAGGCAGCAGAGCUCUCAAGUACAGUACUCACACACAACAGCAGCUAUAGAUAUUUACAUUCUUUAUGCUUCGUUUCCUUCCCAUAGUUCAAUCUUUUUAAGCACCAUAAUGUUUCUAUAUUGUGUUUUGAAUGCAGAGCGGCCAGGAGUUGUAUCUAUUUUCUUAAACCAGAAACAUAAACUGCAAACGACUCGGUCUUGGGAGUUUCUUGGACUAGAGAGAAAUGGAGAGAUUCCUGCAGAUUCUAUCUGGGUUAAGGCGAGAUUUGGUGAAGAUAUAAUUAUUGGCAACAUAGAUACUGGUAAUCUUGAUUUUCUAACCAGCUUUGAGAUAUGGUAGAAUAUUAAAAGUUACUCUUUCAAUGAGGCAUCUCCAUUCAGUAGCAUUACUCUUUUGAAAUAUUUCUUGGCUUGCUUAUCAGAAACAGAUUGAGGAAUCAACAAACUAGUUAGUGUUAUUGCAUUCAUACAAUGUGAUCAAUAUGAAUUACUUCCCUGUAGCUUAUACUAAUGAAAUUUGUCUUUGAUAUAAAAUGAAAUUAAUUAAAUAGAAAAAGACUUAAAAUUUUAGCAAGGGGGUAUAUUUCAUUAUUUAUAGCUAGCGGCUUAAAUUGAUCAAUCCACCCUCAUUAAUCAACUUUGGUUUUUCUUUUUCCUUGGCCUAAUGGUUUUCUAAAUCCAUGGUGGUUGUGGUAGGUGUUUGGCCUGAAUCAGAAAGUUUCAAUGACCAAGGAAUGGGACCGAUUCCAUCAAAGUGGAAAGGUUACUGUGAGCCCAAUGAUGACGUUAAGUGCAACAGGUUUUUCCCUCUUCACCUGCUCUCAACCUCAACUCCACAAGAAGCGUUAUAUGCAAAAUUUUCUCAUGUAACUAAUCAAAAGGGAAAGCAGAAACUUUCUUGACAUGAAGAGUAACAUGAUAGAUUUUUCUUAUUUUUGGUUUGUGUGUGAAAUAUCAAAUAAAUGUUGUAAUGAUUAGGAAGCUGAUUGGAGCGAGGUACUUCAACAGAGGGGUUGAAGCAAAGUUGGGGAGUCCGCUCAAUUCUUCCUACCAAACUGUACGAGAUACAAAUGGGCAUGGCACGCAUACACUGUCCACAGCUGGUGGUAGAUUUGUUGGUGGAGCAAACCUCUUGGGUUCAGGCUACGGAACUGCAAAGGGCGGCUCUCCUAGUGCUCGAGUUGCUUCAUACAAGUCUUGCUGGCCAGAUUGCAAUGAUGCUGAUGUAUUGGCUGCCAUUGAUGCUGCCAUACAUGAUGGCGUUGACAUCCUCUCCC
RNAcentral lists this long non-coding RNA (10918 nucleotides) under Vitis vinifera (wine grape). RNAcentral describes it as "long non-coding RNA (VVIN_LNC007726)". The record is from RNAcentral. Lineage: Eukaryota; Viridiplantae; Streptophyta; Magnoliopsida; Vitales; Vitaceae.